AGUGAGCCUGCUGUAAGCAAGGUGGAAGUGUCUGUCCAAGGGGGGCACGUCAGGAAGUGGCCCCUCUGCUUAGAAGGCAGAAUGGAGAGGUGAUUAUGGUGCUGACAAGGACACAGGCAAAUUACAAAGGGAAUGGUUUCUGCAACAGUCAUUUGUGACUUCAGAGAGGUCCUUGUGGAAGCAGAAAGGGUUUAGAGCAAUACACAGUGUGGGAAUUACUGACUGAAGAGGCCUCAUGCCAAUACUGGCUUGCCUGGUUCUAAUGGUCCCCAUCCAAGAGUUUGUGCAACCCAGCACCAAGUACCAAUAUUUCUGGCAUUCAGCACAGCCAAGAGAUGCUGGGUCAGAAACAGAACAACUCAGGCAGGAAAGUACCUCUAGUCCAGACUCCUGCCUACCAGAGGUAGAGCCUCACUCAGUGAAGAAAACUUCCUUUUCAGAUAAACUUCUCCCUCUUGUUUUAUAGCUUCAUCCCAUUUCCCCAUACUUUGCCGGUCACCAGAGAGAGGAGAUCAGCAGCCCCCCCUCCACUGCACUCCCUGAUGAACCUGUGCACUCUGGCAGGAGUUCAGCCACAUCCAGGAGAGCAGGGCCCCAUCACACGUAACAGUGACCUGGGAAGACAAACUCCAUCACUCCAGAUGUCCUCUCCUUCCUCUUCCUUGCUUUCCUCUAUAUACUGAGCAUGAUGCCAUGGGACAUCUUUCUGCAACAAAGAACAGUGUCAUAACAACAACUACAAUUACUGCAGGAGGUCAUUAUUUCAUCUGUUCAGAGACAUAACCUCACCAGGGCAAGGCUGUCUCUCUGCCAACUGCCUGAAGUUAAAUGUCCAGAGUCAACAGGAACAUGCUGAAAGAGCUGCAAGAAAUAGCAACUUCAUUUUUUCAAACAGCAUCUGAUUGGUAUUUUCUGAAGAUUGAAGAGAAAUAAAUAACAAACUCCCUAACUUUCCUUUAGCCUAGAAAACACUGUGCAUUUAUGGAAACCACACACAUACAGGGUGCCUGGAUUUGGCUGCUUUGGCAGUGAGUGCCCAGCAGCUGCUGCCUGUGAGUGCUGAGGAAUUGGCACCUGUUGGAGGAAAUUCAGCAUUAAACACUGUUAUCCCGCUCAUGAAGCAGUCACCCCUCUCUCUUUAUUUGCAUAGAUAAAAACUUUCUGUGCAUGUGUUUCUGCAUUGUCCUGAACACUGACCUGGAAACCUGGAGGCAAACAAAGCGUGUGAGCAAAACACUGCUCACACCAGACAGAGCUCGUGGCCAUGGCAGGCAUCCCUGGAAGGAAAGUGAGCACAAGGCCAUGACUAACAGAGAAUCAAGAAUUGAAUGUGAACCAUCAUCUUCCAAAGUAUCAAAAUCAAAACAACGUUAGGUUACAGAUACACUGAGACAGACAAAAUGCACUUCCCUUGCCAGAGCAGCACAAAGCUCACUUAUUAUUCUUUUAUAAGCAACCAACACAUAUCUCCUGGCAAAAAGUACACACAGGGUCCUCUCCUACAGCAGCUGCCCCAUCCUACUCUUCAGGUGUGCUACUGCAGCCCACCUCAGUCCCUCUGUGCUUGUAGUGCUGCAGAAGUUGG
Molecule: non-coding RNA, 1585 nt
Organism: Cyanistes caeruleus (blue tit)
Lineage: Eukaryota; Metazoa; Chordata; Aves; Passeriformes; Paridae
Source: RefSeq, a predicted model, not a curated record